UAGCGACAUCUAGUAGAUUUUUAAUGAAUCAUUCAAAUUUGUCGAUAGAUCGCGCUUCGAUCGUCGAAAAUUAAAGGAAAGGAUAAAUUAAAAUAAUGUUGGUUUCUUUAUCUAAUGGUUUUUCUAAUUUACGUCUAAUGGAAUUCGAAUAAUUAUUACUCGUUUUAAGACUCGAUCAAAGAAUACAAUGGAAUUGGUUUGUUAUAUGAUCGCAAUACUUUUGAAAGUAGUCGCACAAUUAUUAAUUUGUGGAAAGUUAGAAUUUAUCAGUUUCAAUUUCGCAGCCAAAA
RNAcentral lists this long non-coding RNA (290 nucleotides) under Polistes fuscatus (common paper wasp). RNAcentral describes it as "uncharacterized LOC122513353". The record is from RNAcentral. Lineage: Eukaryota; Metazoa; Arthropoda; Insecta; Hymenoptera; Vespidae.